This 253-nucleotide ribosomal RNA is filed under the name uncultured bacterium. Its description in RNAcentral is "partial 16S ribosomal RNA". It matches the Rfam family "Bacterial small subunit ribosomal RNA", at positions 524 to 776 of the family's 1533-position model. The record is from RNAcentral.
UACAGAGGUCCCAAGCGUUGUUCGGAUUUACUGGGCGUAAAGGGUGCGUAGGCGGUGGGGUAAGUUUGAGGUGAAAGCUCCGGGCUCAACCCGGAAAAUGCCUUGAAAACUAUCCGGCUAGAGGGUUGGAGGGGAGACUGGAAUUCCUGGUGUAGAGGUGAAAUUCGUAGAUAUCAGGAGGAACACCAGUGGCGAAGGCGGCUUUCUGGACGGUAACUGACGCUGAGACGCGAAAGCGUGGGGAGCAAACAGG